Suncus etruscus (white-toothed pygmy shrew) is the source of this 180-nucleotide long non-coding RNA. RefSeq lists it as uncharacterized. The record is from RefSeq and is a predicted model, not a curated record. NCBI's taxonomy places the organism in Eukaryota, Metazoa, Chordata, Mammalia, Eulipotyphla, Soricidae. The transcript is spliced from 2 exons.
UCUGCGUGUGUGUGUGUGUGUGUGUGUGUGUGUGUGUGUGUGUGUGUGUGUGUGUGCAGGUUCCUUCGCCAGAGGCUCCACUCUCCCUAAGUUUGUCUCCACAGGAACCCCAGAAUGGCUUUUCUAUCACAAUUACAUCCCUUCCCACUUCCAGUCAAUAAAUAUCAUUUCUUAAUAUUA